UAACUGGAGAGUUUGAUUCUGGCUCAGAACGAACGCUGGCGGCGUGCUUAACACAUGCAAGUCGAACGGGAAAAUCCCCGCAAGGGGAUGAGUACAGUGGCGCACGGGUGCGUAACACGUAGGUAACCUACCUGUUGUUGGGGAACAACCUGUCGAAAGACGGGCUAAUUCCGCGUAAGUUGGCAUCAUGAAAAUGAUGUCAAGAAAGAUGGCCUCUGCUUGCAAGCUAUCGACGACAGAUGGGCCUGCGCCCGAUUAGCUAGUUGGUAGGGUAACGGCCUACCAAGGCUUCGAUCGGUAGUUGGUCUGAGAGGACGACCAGCCACACUGGCACUGAAAUACGGGCCAGACUCCUACGGGAGGCAGCAGUGGGGAAUAUUGGACAAUGGGCGAAAGCCUGAUCCAGCAACGCCGCGUGAGCGAUGAAGGCCUUCGGGUCGUAAAGCUCUGUCAGAGGGGACGAAAACUCAGUGGAAAUAAUACUCCAUUGAAUUGACGGUACCCUCAGAGGAAGCACCGGCUAACUCUGUGCCAGCAGCCGCGGUAAUACAGAGGGUGCGAGCGUUGUUCGGAGUUACUGGGCGUAAAGCGCAUGUAGGCGGAUAGAGAAGUCGGGUGUGAAAUCCCUGGGCUUAACCCAGGAACUGCGCCCGAAACCAUCUAUCUAGAGUUCAGUAGGGGAGCGGGGAAUUCCCGGUGUAGAGGUGAAAUUCGUAGAUAUCGGGAGGAACACCAGUGGCGAAGGCGCCGCUCUGGGCUGUAACUGACGCUGAGGUGCGAAAGCUUGGGGAGCAAACAGGAUUAGAUACCCUGGUAGUCCAAGCUGUAAACGAUGGGUACUAGGUGUCGGAGGAAUUGACCCCUUCGGUGCCGUAAGCUAACGCAUUAAGUACCCCGCCUGGGAAGUACGGCCGCAAGGUUGAAACUCAAAGGAAUUGACGGGGGCCCGCACAAGCGGUGGAGCAUGUGGUUCAAUUCGACGCAACGCGAAAAACCUUACCUAGACUUGACAUCUAUCGAACCUUGUAGAGAUACGAGGGUGCCCGCAAGGGAGCGAUAAGACAGGUGCUGCAUGGCUGUCGUCAGCUCGUGCUGUGAAGUGUUGGGUUAAGUCCCGCAACGAGCGCAACCCCUAUCCUUAGUUGCUAACAGGUUAAGCUGAGCACUCUAGGGAGACUGCCGGUGUCAAACCGGAGGAAGGUGGGGACGACGUCAAGUCCUCAUGGCCUUUAUGUCUAGGGCGACACACGUGCUACAAUGGCUGGUACAAAGGGUUGCCAAACCGUAAGGUGGAGCUAAUCUCAAAAAACCAGUCUCAGUUCGGAUUGAAGUCUGCAACUCGACUUCAUGAAGCUGGAAUCGCUAGUAAUCGCUGAUCAGAACGCAGCGGUGAAUACGUUCCCGGGCCUUGUACACACCGCCCGUCACACCACGAAAGCGGAGUAUACCAGAAGUCCCGCCUUAAAACGGGCCCAAGGUAUGAUUCGUGAUUGGGGUGAAGUUUAACGGCUUCCUAUAGAAGUAAUUCUAUAGUAAAACUCAACUAUA
Molecule: non-coding RNA, 1548 nt
Organism: Deltaproteobacteria bacterium
Lineage: Bacteria; Pseudomonadati; Myxococcota; Myxococcia
Source: Rfam